RNAcentral lists this ribosomal RNA (328 nucleotides) under uncultured eukaryote. RNAcentral describes it as "partial 18S ribosomal RNA". It matches the Rfam family "Eukaryotic small subunit ribosomal RNA", at positions 1470 to 1796 of the family's 1831-position model. The record is from RNAcentral.
CCCCUAGAUGUUCUGGGCUGCACACGCGCUACACUGAAGGGAUCAGCGUGUUCUUUUCCUGGUCCGAAAGGAUCGGGUAACCCGCUGAACCCCCUUCGUGGUAGGGAUCGGAGCUUGCAAUUAUUCUCCGUGAACCAGGAAUUCCCAGUAAGCGCAAGUCAUAAGCUUGCGUUGAUUACGUCCCUGCCCUUUGUACACACCGCCCGUCGCUACUACCGAUUGGACGUUUUAGUGAGGAUUUUGGACUGAGCCAAUGGUGGUUCACACCACUGUUGUGCAUGGAAAGAUCUCCAAACUUGAGCGUUUAGAGGAAGUAAAAGUCGUAACA